AUCAAAGUAGUUUAAAAAAAACCUUAAUUUGUGGCAUUAAAACUACCAGUCUAAAUCUGGUCUAUGAUC
Molecule: transfer RNA, 69 nt
Filed under: Linckia laevigata
Lineage: Eukaryota; Metazoa; Echinodermata; Asteroidea; Valvatida; Ophidiasteridae
Description: tRNA-His
Source: RNAcentral